AUCUCUCAUUUCAUAAUCCAUGAACGUUUGAAUAUUGUCAUUUUAAAGACAGAAGGUUAGCCGAGGUCAGAGUUUACAAAUUUCAUUAAAGAUGGGCGUGGCGUUAUCAUUUUUCUGCCAAGAAGCUGAGCAGUUAUUGAGUAUUUAUGAUUCUCUAGUACCUAGAGGUAUUGUAGCCUCGAUCCCAGGCUGCAUGCACUUUUCUCAAGGCCUAUGAGGAGGCUAGGAGUAUUGUAGCCAUGCUUACGUACGUAGGUAUCCACUCAAUAUUGUUGACAGGAUUGUCUUCUUUCAAAUCAGAUGCAGAGGCACGUACAUACCCUUGGCUCAAUUGAGAAACUGAUGGUGGAGUCAGUGGAUCCCGUCGGACAUUAAUUAAACCCCCUCAUCGACAGUUCACUGUUUCUAUCACCACACCCUGCAUGUUUAUCAUUAAUGUUAUAAAUUAUCUCUGUUAUAAUUACACAUUUGCCUUCACGAGAACAAUUCUGUAUGGUGUUGCGUUGCAGCUACUUGUAUGUCAAGAAAUGAUUCA
Molecule: long non-coding RNA, 535 nt
Organism: Halichondria panicea
Lineage: Eukaryota; Metazoa; Porifera; Demospongiae; Suberitida; Halichondriidae
Exons: 2
Source: RefSeq, a predicted model, not a curated record